RNAcentral lists this transfer-messenger RNA (354 nucleotides) under Candidatus Omnitrophota. RNAcentral's name for it is "JABMSB01 sp013202205 Standard tmRNA". It matches the Rfam family "transfer-messenger RNA". Rfam says of the family: Bacterial tmRNA, also known as 10Sa RNA or SsrA, is named for its dual tRNA and mRNA-like properties. Its role is to liberate the mRNA from a stalled ribosome. To accomplish this part of the tmRNA is used as a reading frame that ends in a translation stop signal. Lineage: Bacteria; Pseudomonadati. The record is from RNAcentral. RNAcentral also lists the same sequence under 1 other name.
GGGGGUGACAGGUUUCGAUUUAGGUCACCAAUUUAAGAGGAGCAUGCAGAGGUUGUCAGGAGGCCUCUUUAAACACCUGGCACACUAUAAGUGCUACAAACGUAGCUGCUUAAGCCGACUUAGAUUCGGCAAGCUCGCCGGCCGGUUUCCUGGGAGGCCGGGUCGAGCUCCGCGACGCAGGAUAGUCUGGUUGGGUUUGCCUUUUGACGGCCGGGCGAAGCUUGAAAAGGCUGGUCGAUUCCGAAUCCCGCCCAUCGGAGGCGGAAUCGACGAGAUCCAAAGAUUGGGACAAGCAUGUAGCGCCUUUUAAUUAGGUACUUAAAGACCCCGGUUCGAAUCCGGGCACCUCCACCA